This is a long non-coding RNA of Columba livia (rock pigeon), 12486 nucleotides long. RefSeq lists it as uncharacterized. The record is from RefSeq and is a predicted model, not a curated record. The transcript has 3 exons. NCBI's taxonomy places the organism in Eukaryota, Metazoa, Chordata, Aves, Columbiformes, Columbidae.
GGAAAUUAAAGAUAAAUGGAAGGAGAAGUUACCAAGUUGUUUGUGGGAGGUGGGAAAGUGGUUUCCAAAAGUGUGAGGAGGAGACGGAGGGGACAGAGAGCCCUGGGUAGAUGCACUGAGCUGGCACAGCAAGAAGAAGAAAUAUUAUAGCAUUUCCUGGUAGAGAGAGUUAUUAAGUACACGAGUUCCAUGCUGCUAUACACAGGUAAGGUCUGCUUUGCCCAGCCAUCCCAAGCAUGCUUUUCCAUUCUCAUUAACUUAGGCCUUAAAUCAGCUAAGAGUGCCUUAAAAAGGUCCCUUGAGCUGGUUUCUGGAACAAAGCUGAUGACAAAUUCACAUCAGUAGUUUUGACACCCUUGUGCUGAGCCAGUAUGUCUGAAGGCAGCAGGAGGCAGCGGCUCUGCCAGCCUUUCCCAUGGGCACUCCGAGUGAGUUUGUCACAGUAUCACACAGUAUCACAGUAUGUUUGGGAUUGGAAGGGACCUCAAAAGAUCAUCUAGUCCAAUCCCGCUGCUGAAGCAGGAACACCUAGGUGAGGUCGCACAGGAACAUGUCCAGGCAGGUCUUGAAUGUCUUCAGCGAAGGAGACUCCACAACCCCCCUGGGCAGCCUGUUCCAGUGUCUGUCACCCUCACUGAGAAGAAGUUUUUUCUCAAAUUUAAGCGUAACCUCUUGUGUUCCAGCUUGAUCCCAUUACCCCUUGUCCUAUCACUGUUUGCCACUGAGAAGAGCCUGGCUCCAUCCUCUUGAGAGUCACCCUUUAUUUAUUUAUAAACAUUAAUAAGGUCACCCCUCCGUCUCCUCCAGACUAAAGAGACCCAGCUCCCUCAGCCUUUCUUCAUAAGGGAGGUGCUCCACUCCCUUAAUCAUCUCAGUUGCCCUACACUGGACCCUCCCCAGCAGUUCCCUGUCCUUCUUGAACUGAGGGGCCCAGAACUGGACACAAUAUUCUAGAUGGGGUCUCACCAGGGUGGAGUAGAGGGGAAGGAGAACCUCUCUGACUAACCACCCCCCUUGCAAUACACCCGAGGAUGCCAUUGGCCUUCCUGGCCACAAGGGCACAGUGCUGGCUCAUGGUCAUCCUGUUGUCCACCAGGACCCCCAGGUCCCUUUCCCCUACACUGCUCUCUAAUAUGUAAUUUCCCAACCUAUAGUGGAACCUGGGGUUGUUCCUGCCCAGAUGCAGGACUCUACACUUUCCCUUGUUACAUUUCAUCAGGUUAUUCCCCGCCCAACUCUCCAGCCUGCCCAGGUCCCGCUGGAUGGCAGCACAGCCUUCUGGCAUGUCAGCCACUCCUCCCAGCUUAGUGUCAUCAGCAAACUUGCUGAUAGUACACUCAAUUCCCUGGUCCAAAUCAUUAAUGAAUAUAUUGAAUAAUAUUGGCCCCAGUACUGACCCCUGAGGCACUGCACUAGAUACUGGCCUCCAGCUAGACUCCGCACCAUUGACUACCACUCUCUGGCUUCUCUCCUUAAGCCAGUUUGCAACCCACCUCACUACUCUAAUUGUCUAGACCACACCUCCUCAACUUAGCUGUGAGGAUGCUGUGGGAGACUGUGUCAAAGGCUUUACUGAAGUGAAACAGCCCUUCUCUUAGUUACAUGCCAGUGCUCUAAAUUACUUCACAAAAUCUGUAAUUCAGCACAGUGGAAGCAUGUUUCCUACUUUUAGAAGGUGCUGUUACCUGCCUUAGUGUUUAUACCUCAGACUGUCUUUACUGCGUCCGUCAGUAUUGGCUUGCUUCUCAUUAAAAAUAAAUCAAUAAAGGGCAAUGCAUGCCCGCAGGCAUCUCCUUCCCUCCAAGUUUGACAAGAUGAAAGCUCACAUCUAGGCCAAAUGAUUUUACUAAUAAUACUCUAAAUGCAUUCUCUCUGCUGAUAUUCUAAAAUCUAAAAAGAAAAAUUAUGCAUGAGAAAGAACCAGCUGAUGAAGUCUGAAGUUCACUCAACAGUGCUUUGUUAAACCAAACAGACAUAUUUAUUGUACAUCUAUCUGAAAGGUAAACGUGAGAAAGCACAGUAACACUACUAUCAGAUUAACAUUUUGGAUUCAGUCAACUUGUGUUAAAGUUUUCCUGCAUUUCCACACCUCAUCUUCAGCUGUUCAUCACCCCUUUCCAGAAAUUACCAGCCUCUCAGAUCUGUCAGUGUAACUGCACGUGUGGUCUUUCCACAAGCCAGUGUUGCCAAACUGAGCUGUGUUAGAUAACCCCUAUGAUUACAAAUCUUUCAGCCAUUGGAUUGAUUUAGACAGAACUGGGUUAAAAGCAAUCAGAUAUGUUGUUAGUUGACAGUUCGGAGAAGUUUGUAGCCUCUGGUAGUGAUGAGAUGGCCAACAAGAUUAGCAGAAAGUAGUAAUAACCUCAAGCUGGUGCGAUUACUGCCCAAAUAGCCUUACUUAGCAUCAAUGAUCCUAUGUGGACAAGCUGCACCUAUUAAUACUAAGAAGGUAAUAUAAUUAUUAUACCUGAAAUACUGACAGUGUUACUGUUCUAUGUGGUACUUCUUAAAAGCGACAGAAUCAGACUUACAGUUAUGCUUAUAAUUUUCUGUUACCCUAGGAAAAGAGUCCUCUAUCAACAAGGGGUGUUGUGUAACUCUUGGCCAGUCAAUGGCUAACACCUCAGCAGGUUACCUUCUUGCUCAUUAUGUAUAGAAAAUAGUUGUCUUCAGUGUUACUAAACAUUAAAAGUAUGCAUGUCAAACAGGUCUAAGAUGAGGUGAGUUACAGCAGGUUACAGCAUAUUGCUUCUGUGAAAAUUUCGUUGAGUGUGUGAGAGGUAAUGAGAUUGGAGGAGGUAUCAUAAGCCAUGCACUUUUCCCCAUUCCUAAUAACCUAUUAAUAUGUGAACUAAAAAGUGUUCAUAUUUUUAUGUAUGACAUUGUUUUCAAAUUUGAGCAUGAGAAGAGGUUUUGGUGUCAGCUGCUAGAAGAAGAAAUAACUAAGUGUACAGAAGAGUUUGAAGACAAAAGAGUUUGCAGACCUCCAUGAAGAAGGAGAUAACGUUUAAAAAACGACAGAAGUUUUACACUUCAGUAUUUGGGGCACAUGGCAGUUGCACCCUCUCCCACCCCCGCCCCGUUCCGAGAACUGAUAUGGCAGUUGCACAUCCCCCUCUCCUUCAAUGGGGCAGUUAACAGCUUCUUUUGUGAGACCCUCAAUUCGUUGGCCGGGGUCGUUAGCAGAGAAAGGGUGGUGCUGAUGAGCCAGGAAGCUUCUGGGGCGCCGACAGCCGGAGUAGGGGGGUGCAUAGAGGUCGAGAAGCUUCUGGAAUGCCCACAGCCAGGUAUGAUCGGACUAUAAAACUGGGUGCCUGCUGAAGAUCCCCUUUGUGUGGUCUUCUUGGAGCAGCAGGUCUGCAUGCCGGAGCCCUCCCCUUAGACUGGGAUGCCGUCUAAGGUAACUUCCUGGGAAUGGGAGCGCCUCACCUCCUUGUUUGUGUGAGUGAUAUCCUUGAAUAAUUCCUUGCCAGAUCAGGCAAGUGUAAGCCCCUUGCCGAACCCAGGCAAGUGUAACACCCUGCCUAAUUCAGACAAGUGUAGUCUUUGUUAAUACAAGCAAGUGUAGUAUCCUGGAGUCGGAGAUGGCUCUGGCUUUGUUUCUUGUGAGUGCAUGCACGCAUGCUGUGGAUCUCCAUCAUUCAUUUGCUGUACCCCAGUAAUUUCCUCAACUGAUAUCCAAACCUGUAUUUUAUGUUACCAGAGUGCUAACUAACUGUAUAAACCCUGUUUAUAGUUGGUUGUUUUCCCGGACUUUUCCAGCCAGAAUAAAAGUCUGUUUUGGAUCUUGUUUGCCCCCCAAAACUGAUUUUGGGGUGCCUCUGUGACAGUGCAGUAUUAAUGAAGCCAAAUUAUAGUAUUAUAGAUGCAAAUACUAUCUAGUAUAAUGAAGUCUAGAAUAAGUAUAAAUUUAUUUAAAAAUAAACCUGAUUUUCAGUGCAAAAUUGUAUUUGUGCUUUUGACUGGAUAAAGUCUUUAUGUACAGUUACAUGAAGGUGAAUAUUUUUCUUAAUUGCACUGUUUUACUUUUUAAUAUUUUCAGUCCAGAUCCUUCUUGUCAUGCUUCUGACUGGUCUGUCCAACCUGUGUUGCUGCACAGACUGGGGCAACCUCUUCCAUGCUGGCUGAGACAGGAGCUAUAGAAGAAACAAACCUUGUACUGCUUGUAUCCUGCUUGGAGUCCAGGAGGUAUUCAAAUCUUUAAGGCUUGAUCCUUUAUUCAUCAUUUGGGAUCCUGCCAUGAAUUAUUCACAUUUUAAGAGCCAAGUCAACAGACGGCGCAUCAGUAACCCUUCAGAGACCUACCAGCUGUGGAAGGAUGCACUCUACCUUGACAGGAGCUGACUCAUUUGAAAUUGUAGAGAACUAAUGCUAUACCAAACUACAAAAAGUGCAUUAAAUAGAGGACUUCCAGAAGAAGAGUUGAAUAGCUAUCUCUCAACUCAGGGACUGUAUCUUGUUGCUGGGAAAAAAAACAAACCAAAACAAAAAACAAUUAAUUAUCAUCUGUGAUAAAUAAACCAUCUUUAGGGAGACAUAUUUAGGUAACUUAUAUUUCAUUGCUUUGUUUACAUUUUCAUAAUCAAAGAGUGAAGCAAGGCUUAUUAUAAACAUGGUUAAAGUGCCAUAUUUAAAUCACAAAAUUAGAAAUAUUGAUUUUUUUGCAUGUGUUUGUUAGCUCAUAGAUUGCAAGUAUUAUAGCAUAUCAGUAAUAAGUUCAAUUCAGCAUUCUGCUCAUUGAUUCUUUUCAAAUAGCCCAACUUCUAAAAGUGUGGGCUGAUGUUUAUUAUAGCAGCCAGAAUGUCUUUGUCAAUUUCUAAAUCUGAGAUAAGGACUAAGUAUCCAUUCUCACAACUGUAAAAAGUGCUUCUAAAUGUCUGUGUACUGAAACUUAGAAACUCCUGCUAUAUCUUCUGUUCUUGCUGGGCAUAACUGAAAUAAGGAAAGCAAGAACAACUUUGUUUUCAGAAAUUAUUGACAGAUACAAGACUUCCAUUUGGCUGGACUCUGAAAUACAGCAGAAGCCAGAUUUGGUGGAAAAAGUGUAACUUGAUUUAUAAACCAACAUUUAACAUUGAAGCACAAUAUUAUGCUUCUUGUGUUUGGCAAACUAUCAGAAAAAAAUUAAAACAGAGUUCACUGACGGAUACUGAAGUGAUAGAUUUUGACCAUUUUGAAACAUCUUUGAUUCUUGUAAAGGGGGACAAAUUUUGAAACUAGAACUUAGAUGUUCUGAAUCUAAUAAAAAUAUGUGUAAAAAAAUCAAAGAGUUCUUAGUAAUAAGUUAAAGGAUUUAGCAUUUUUUUAUGUAGUAAUGUUUUUAAACCUCAGCUCAGCUGAAAUAGUCAUGAACACUAUCAAGAAAGAAUAGUGAUUUUUCUUUUUCUGUGUCUAUAAAUAGCACUAUAUCAUUCACUAAUGAUUAAGACAAUUCCCAGCAUACUUACAAUUUGGCCAUUUACUCCUCAAAUGUUCGUACAAAUACAUACGAAUAUAUUUGGCUGCAUAUAUCUAUCUAAAUGAACUGUUGUGCAAUGCUUGCAUUUAACUAGACACAGUAUAUUUCGAGCCUUUACACCUCCAUUUUAAGCAAGAAAUUUCAUUUGAAAUUUCAGUUUCCUAGCAGCUAAAUUCUAAUGAUGAUAAAUAUAAAUCAUGAGAAAAAAAUUGUUUAAGGUUGCUUAUUUUCUUUCAAAAGUGGACCUUCCAAGUACAAAGUUGAUAGUAACUGAAUUAUUUCUACUUGAUAGUAAAUUGUAAUUACAAUGGCAGACUUUUCUAACCUUGGUUUCCUAAAUGUUCUUAGUACAUUGCUCAGAGGAAAUUGGGUGAAAAUACAGAAAAUUUACAAAUGUAUGUCCUGAUGAUGCCCUUUCUGGUGCAGGUAGGACAGAAGAACCUCGGACGCAGGGACUGCCCAGCCCUGCACCAGUGGCAGGUGAGGCUCAGAGGGCUGUAAUGCAUAUGAGCUCCGAGUUGGGCUGAAUGCUGGGCCCACACUAACAUUUUGGGGAGGUAUUGUUGAUCCCUGAGACAGGGCACAGCAUUACUAACCACGCAGAAAGGACACGCUUUGUCAGUGCCAACACUGGCCUGGCCAAUGCCCAAACCAAUUCUUCAUGUGUAUUUUUAGUACUUGUCAUUUGGAGAUGUUGAACCUUGGUAGUUUGUUGUCAAAAGACAUGUAAAGUCUCCUCACCGACCUCUUUUAUAUCAUUAUAGAUAUACUGACUUUGUACAUUAUUCCUGAGCUAUACAGGGAGAAGGGAGAAAAGAAGCAUGCCCCAGGAGUAAAUUCCAAUUUAAGUGUAGGCUUGUGUAUAGCCACUUAUUCAUAUGAAUUAUAUGAAAGCCAUGGAUACUCUAUGUGUAAAUCCAGGUGGAACCACACCACUAAUCUAUGAAUGUUUUGCACUCCUGAGGGAAGAAAAAACAAACCUGGAGAUCUGACAGCCUCAUGAAAGCAUUCCCAUUGUGGCAUAAUCUUUUAGAAAAAAAAUAAAUCAUACCCCAUCUUUUUGUAAAUUGACCUGUAAGUUACUGGCAGUAAAUCAAUAGGAUCCAAAUGAAAAAUAAUAAUGCAAUAACAAUGCUGUGUAUUAACUUGGACCCCAGAUGAAAACUUGUGAAGUGAUCAAUGUGAUAAAGAUUCAGUGCUGUUACUCUUUUACAAAGAAACGACAAAACAACAUACUGUUUUCAAAAGGUGGCUGUAAAAAAAACCAAACCCAUCUGCCAAGAAUGAAAAGAUAAACCCAAAUAUAAAGCAUUUCCUUGUUUGUUUGUCUGUUUCUUUUUCCCCAGACUUCCAUUAAUUUGAAUUGGAAUCAAAAGGAGCAAUUUUUUUUUUGUUUGGAGGAAAAGCAAGCAAGCUAAAAAAUCAUUCAUUUUCACAUUAGACCACGAAGGUCAAUGGAUGAAAACUUGCAUAUGACAAGAACAUGAAAACCAGUGAUUUUGUGAAGUACUUGGGUACACUUAUUUUGUUUAUCAUUUAAUUUUAACUACUCCCUCCAAAUAUUGUUUUGGAGCUGUUGAACUUGUUCGUCACAGACCAAACAAAAUUUUGUUUGUUAAUUAAGGCAAAGAUGGUGAUUUGAAAGAGGUUUUUUCCUCCCAGCCUUAAAAGCUUGUCUCAUUUAUGGAGUGGGUAUGGUGAGGCAGGUAGAAAGCUACAGGUAGAGAAAGGUCUAUGUAGAGCUGUUGCCCCAGGCGGUGUGAGGAGCUGUGUAGCUCUGCCCUGGGACCACGGUGUGACACAAACGUGAAUGCUGUGUCAGCUGCUGCUGAUGACACAGAAUUAUUGUUAAAGUAUAUUAAACCUUUUACUGAAUUGGGGAUUUAAGGAUUAUGAAUCUUCAAAGAUUAAUUUAAAAAAAUAACAGGGUGAAGAGAUACUCUAGAAAUCCACUCUUAGCUGUAUUGUAGUUUAACAAUCACAACCAUUUCUUACCAUGCCAUGGACCUGGAUAGAUUCCUACAAACUUUCCGUAAGAUGAGGAAUGAAACUUAAAACGGCAGAGAUAGGAUUACAGCAAGGCUUCAUUAUUUAAAAAUAAUCUUCACUGAAUGAAAUCUAAAAUUAGUAAAUUCAUUUUCCAUAUGUGAUUGCCACAAAUAUGGUACAGAAUAGAAAACUAAGAGCAGGCAACCUAACUGGAAACUCAAGAGGAGAGAGAGAAGAGCAGCCAUGCAGCCUGGAUGUUGACGGGGCAGCACAGAGAUUGGCAUCACCGUCACAUGCACAGCAGCAUUCUGAUGUGGCUGUGAGUCUCAGCAUUGCGGACACCGAGAGAGAAAACGCCAGAGGACGAUGGGCACACAGCACAGGGAGAGACAGUCAUGUUUAGGAGUGUUAUCUGAAUCUCUGAAUUCAUCCCUUCGAUCAUUCAGUGAUAUACGUUUAUAUACACAAAAGUAAAGGACAUUCUGUUUGAAAGCUUCUAGUAAAGGAAAUUCACAGUACAAACUGAAUGACUGCUUCUGUAGUUCAAAACAAAUAAUCCCACAUACUGCUGUUUUACAUACACCAUGUGUGACACCACACUGAGGUCUAAGAGGAAAUAAGUUUUAAUGCCAGCUUCGGGGCUGAUAUGUGUGCAAGACAACAGGGUCGAUGCUAAGGCCAAGAACUACAAGGCAACUGAUUAAGCAUUAGUCACAAGUGUUCUGUAUGUAUCCCUGGAGGUCUGAAAGAUGCUUUUCAGACAAGCAGAAAAGACUUCACUUCGGUGAUUUUAAACUUAAAAUGAGUCAUAAAAGCCAGAUAAUAAAUGGAGAAGGAAUUAAGACAGCACUAAAAGAGAAGUGGUAAACUUAUGUGAGGGCAGCAUUUACAUGAAACAGCCUUGCCAUUCCAGCUUGUUUUCUUGCAAGUAGAAGUUAGACCACUGUCUCAUGCAUUAGUCUUAAUAUCUAUCCAUGGCCACUUUAUUGAGCAACAUUUUUACAAAUAAAAGGAUGAAACAAUUGUGGCAACUUGUACAUUCCCAGAAUUACGUAAAAUAACUUGCACAAUCAGUGCAACAUGGCACAUAGCAGUUACCCUCUGAUCUCACCUAUAUUUUCAUUCUGGAUUACUAAGUGCAGUGUGAAAAACAAAUGCUUUUCUUGAGAGGCAGCCAAAAGGUACAGUUUUCAAAUUUCAGUUCAUGUUGAGAUCUUAUUCAUAAUUUCAUAUGAAUAAGUUCAUAGCUUAGAUAUUUACAUGAUUGCUUGAAGGUGCAUUUAAAGUAAUUUAUCUACAUAUAUGUGCAUUGCUGUAGGAAUUUUAAGAGUUAUUUCAAUAUUAAUCCACAGUUCAUGGUUAUGAGUACAGAUCAAAGAUCCUCAUGUGGCUCCAGCCCCAAGAUGGGCCACCACCUAUGGGGUGACAGUUUCUCCUGUUUAAAUCACACACAUUCAAUUUGCUGUGACCUUGAAAUAAAGGAGGAAAAUCUCACUAGCUGUGAAGACUUAAGUCCUGUGGCAUAUAAGCCAAUAGAGAUGUUGGAAAUUAUUGCUAGAAAACUGUAUCUGUCAGGAAAUGGUAGGAUUCUCCAAUUUUAAUUAUGUUUUCUCUGGGUUUUGUUUUUGUUUAGAAAAUUGUGCUUUUUGGUUUUUUUUUGGUAUUUUUGUUUGUUUGUUUGUGUUUUUUUUUUUUGUUUUGUUUUUUUUUAAUAGUGUCUGCUUUUUCCCUUUCAAAAGGCAUUUGUUGAAAAUCAGAGCUACCUCAAAAUUGAAAAAUCUCACUUUGGGGAUCUUUAAAAAAAAUACUUCAUGGGAAUACAAUGAAGUUUUUCAGACAGUUGAAGUUACCACCUGUUUGCAACAACUAAGGAAAAAAUCCACUAUCAGGAAUGUACUUUGACAUGUAAGAGGAAUAGCAGAAGCUUGUUUCCAUAUCCUGCUGGGCACCAAAAUAUUUAAUAAAGUCACCAGACGUCCUUUUUGCCAACACAUACGUGCACUGAAGACCGUGCGAACCCUUACUGUUUCUCACUGCCCUUGUGCUGCAGAUAAUUCUGCCCACAGUUCCUCUGGAUGGAGGUUUUCUUUGGUGGGGAAGCAGCUUUAACUUGGUUUAGGUGAAAGUCUGUCACUGGAGCAUUUUUUGAUGAAGGAAGGGAUUUAAUGUCUUACCCAAACAAAAACGUCAAGUAUGUUUACACUUUCGGUUUGGGAUCUCUUUCUCUUUGAAGACUUCAGAAGCAAAUUUUCUGGACGUAUUUGCAGCUCCUUUCAGAGCACAGUAAAACUGACCCCUUAAAGGCAGAGGUCUGUUAAAUUCACAUUGACCUACCUGUGCACUGAGGCAGAGAUUUCCUGCAGGUGCUGCCCCUAACUUAGGGUGAUGUGAAAACGACCAACAAAACCUCUCAGUACAGUGUCUGUGUGGGGCUUGCAGAAGAUGCAUCUCUGAGCAGACAGGUCUCAGAGAUGCUGGUGCCACGGCUUUGCUCUCCCAUGGUCAUACCCUGCCCAAGCCCACCAGCUGCAACACUGACAUCUGGUGCCUGAUGAUUUAGUCCUAUGGUUUUGGCCAGGUGUUGGCAGAGUCCCCAGCAGGUUUCCUGGCCUGGCCAUGGUGCUGCAGGCCUUUGAUACCUGAUCUGGCACCAACUGCUGCAAAUGAGAAAAAGGAACAGGAAUCUGCAUCCGUUUCCUUUUCUACUUGUGGAAAUCCUUUCUGGCACUGAGACAGAUUCAGCAUUGCUGGUUUUUUGCCUGUGGACUUGAAAAAGUUAAAGCAAAAGGACAGGUUGCAAGCUAGAUAAGGAAAAAUCUUCUAGUAGAAAUUACACAGUUUCCAUUUUAAAAAGCCACAAAAAUAUGUCAUAUAAAUAUUUUUUUCUACAGUCAGGGCUAGUUACUACCUUGCUAUGCUAAAUAAGAGCUAUAUAUAUAUAUAUUCAAAGACCAAGAAACCAGCUCUCUUCAUCUGCUAUAAAACUAAACAGUAUUCUAGUAUUCUGUUUUCUAUUUCCAAGUAGGCUGUUAAAUCACAAGAAAGUAUUUUUUAUUCUUUUUUUUUUUCUUUUUACUGCUUUUUUUAGCUGCUAUACUCUUUUCUGUGUGAUUCACAUUCCGUAACAGCCUAAGUUCAAUGAGAGUAUCAGCAUUAAACACUACACAAACACAAUUAGUUUUUAAAUCUUUCAUAGGAUGCGUAAUUAUCAGCACUUAAUUUCUACAGCUGAGGUAUCCUUGACUAUUUCAACAGUUUGGCAUAAUGCUUUCAGUCAAGUGGAACAGUUUCUUAAUUUCCAUUUCUGUGCUCAGGUGUUAACACUAAAAGCCUACUUAGUCAUAAUGUGAAGCAAAGCAAUGAUAAUUCAAACAAAAGCCCCAAAACCAAGGGAAAACAGAAAAAAGGGGGAAGGAACAUGUCAAAGCCAACUUUGUAUGAAAGAUUUGGAGGUAGUCCUUAGCCUUCUCAAUUUUUUGAGAAGUCUCAAGGAUAUAAGGGGAAAUAAAUCACAUAUAUCAACAAAGAAAUGCUGUCUGCGCUAGUUAAGCAGUACGGAAGGAAACAUUUCCUUGCUUCAAAGUCUGCCUUCCUUUGCUCUUUGGUUAACUAUCAAUGAAGCUUGGAGGUCUGGAAAGAGCACAGUGAUGUGCUAGGCCAAAUAACUUUUAAAGUAGAACUCAGACUACUUUCCAACCUAAAAAUAAAUGCAAUGUUUUUAUUUAAUUAUUCAUUCAUCUUUUCUUGUAGGAAAAAUGGGAAUAUGUGAAGUGGAUUCUCAGAAUUAAGCAUUUAUAUCUUGCAUGUAGAACAGAAACCUGAUUCAUCUAUUUGAGACAUAGAUGUAGAAGAUAGCUGAAGGUUAUUUUUGCUGAAAUCUGUUAAUGACAGCAUUAACUUGUAGAUCAGAGACAUUUCCUUAAUAAGCCACACAGUGCUUUGAAAGUAUUUUCCAAAGGUGGUAGGAGAAGAUUCUGUAUUGCAAGAAACAUUCAUUGAGUUUUUCAUGUAUCAAUAAAACAUUGGUCAGUAUGAAUUAGAUGUCUCAUCACAGAAUAUGUGCUGGAUCUCCUGAGAACUGAGAACUUUAAGUUGAGCCAUAACAUAGUCAAAUACAUGUGUAAUACUCAUCUGACUCAAAUUCUGAGAUUAUUGAGAAAAAUCUUCACCUUUACAUUAAGAGACUAGAAGGAAGAGGGGCAAGGCAAGUUGUUUUCUGAAAACAUUUUACAUUUUGCCCUCUACCAUACUUAAGCUCCACUACUGCAGCCUAGUGCUAGAUAGAUAAAACACUGGUGCUAUAUAAAAUUACAGUAUGAAACAAAGACACAGAACAAGAGCUAAGGUCUGUGUGUCCUUUCAUUUAGUUUAUUUGCAAAGUUAUUCAGAAUGAAGACACUUAAUCCCUAAUGUAAACAUGCAGGGAACAUUAUUUAUGUUUAAGAAAAGUUGAAGGCUAACGUAAUGCAAACUGAGAAUUUUGUCUAUUUGUUGUGUGGGAUAAGAACUCUUUUUUGUAGAUAUCAAUGGAUAGUUCAAAGCUGUGGUAUAGCUGCAAUUAAUUUGAAUGACUCAGGUAUCGCAUUCAUUUCAUUGAAUAAAAGAAAGCCUACCUUACACAAUGAAAUACGACAGCAAGUCUAUCAUGUUUUGAUUAUGUUUGCUUGAUGAACCUAAAUAGGUAUUUCACUAUGGUAGAUGUGUUUGAAGCAAUAGCUAAAAGAACUAGGAUUAUAUAAUAAAUACUAUGGGACUUUGCUGUUUAAGGGUAAUUUUAUCCCACAAAUAAACGUUCAUGGUCAUUAUAAAAAAGACUCCACAUGCCUUCAUAGUUAUUACAUUAGACAUUCUCCAUCCUUCUUACUAAAAAAAAAAAUUAAUAAGAAUGAAAUUGACUUCUAAAACAUUUGAUCACUGCUUUUCAGGAAAAUGGAUCAAGGGGUGGUUCUCAUUAUUUUGUUAAGCUUAGAAAAAUACAUUUUAAUGAGAAUGUUUUAAGCUUCAGACCUUCUGUCCACCUACUAAUUGGUGCCUGCCAU